This 253-nucleotide ribosomal RNA is filed under the name uncultured bacterium. RNAcentral's name for it is "partial 16S ribosomal RNA". It matches the Rfam family "Bacterial small subunit ribosomal RNA", at positions 524 to 776 of the family's 1533-position model. The record is from RNAcentral.
UACAGAGGGUGCAAACGUUGCUCGGAAUUACUGGGCGUAAAGCGCGUGUAGGCUGACCGGAAAGUCGGGCGUGAAAGCCCUGGGCUCAACCCAGGAACUGCACUCGAAACUCCCGGUCUAGAGUGGUGGAGAGGGAAGUGGAAUUCCUGGUGUAGAGGUGAAAUUCGUAGAUAUCAGGAGGAACACCAGUGGCGAAGGCGGCUUCCUGGACACCAACUGACGCUGAGACGCGAAAGCGUGGGGAGCAAACAGG